UCUCCGUUGGUGAACCAGCGGAGGGAUCAUUACCGAGUUUACAACUCCCAAACCCAAUGUGAACGUUACCAAACUGUUGCCUCGGCGGGGUCACGCCCCGGGUGCGUCGCAGCCCCGGAACCAGGCGCCCGCCGGAGGAACCAACCAAACUCUUUCUGUAGUCCCCUCGCGGACGUUAUUUCUUACAGCUCUGAGCAGAAAUUCAAAAUGAAUCAAAACUUUCAACAACGGAUCUCUUGGAUCUG
This 245-nucleotide unclassified non-coding RNA is filed under the name plant metagenome. RNAcentral's name for it is "partial contains small subunit ribosomal RNA, internal transcribed spacer 1, and 5.8S ribosomal RNA". The record is from RNAcentral.